AAAGUNNGUACAGGUUUCCGUAGGUGACCUGCGGAAGGAUCAUUA
This 45-nucleotide ribosomal RNA is filed under the name Zoanthus sansibaricus. RNAcentral's name for it is "partial 18S ribosomal RNA". Lineage: Eukaryota; Metazoa; Cnidaria; Anthozoa; Zoantharia; Zoanthidae. The record is from RNAcentral.